Moniliophthora roreri MCA 2997 is the source of this 100-nucleotide transfer RNA. It matches the Rfam family "tRNA". From Rfam's summary of the family: Transfer RNA (tRNA) molecules are approximately 80 nucleotides in length. Their secondary structure includes four short double-helical elements and three loops (D, anti-codon, and T loops). The record is from Rfam. NCBI's taxonomy places the organism in Eukaryota, Fungi, Basidiomycota, Agaricomycetes, Agaricales, Marasmiaceae.
GGGCGUUUAGCGCAGUGGUAGCGCGUAUGCUUUGCAAAUGCGAGCCAAUGGCUUACAUUGAGUGUGUAUAAGGUCCAGGGUUCAAUCCCCUGAACGUCCA